GAUGAACGCUGGCGGCGUGCCUAAUACAUGCAAGUCGAGCGAACGGACGAGAAGCUUGCUUUUCUGAUGUUAGCGGCGGACGGGUGAGUAACACGUGGAUAACCUACCUAUAAGACUGGGAUAACUUCGGGAAACCGGAGCUAAUACCGGAUAAUAUUUUGAACCGCAUGGUUCAAAAGUGAAAGACGGUCUUGCUGUCACUUAUAGAUGGAUCCGCGCUGCAUUAGCUAGUUGGUAAGGUAACGGCUUACCAAGGCAACGAUGCAUAGCCGACCUGAGAGGGUGAUCGGCGACACUGGAACUGAGACGCGGUCCAGACUCCUACGGGAGGCAGCAGUAGGGAAUCUUCCGCAAUGGGCGAAAGCCUGACGGAGCAACGCCGCGUGAGUGAUGAAGGUCUUCGGAUCGUAAAACUCUGUUAUUAGGGAAGAACAUAUGUGUAAGUAACUGUGCACAUCUUGACGGUACCUAAUCAGAAAGCCACGGCUAACUACGUG
Molecule: ribosomal RNA, 497 nt
Filed under: uncultured bacterium
Lineage: Bacteria
Description: partial 16S ribosomal RNA
Rfam family: Bacterial small subunit ribosomal RNA
Source: RNAcentral